Molecule: long non-coding RNA, 84 nt
Organism: Sinocyclocheilus anshuiensis
Lineage: Eukaryota; Metazoa; Chordata; Actinopteri; Cypriniformes; Cyprinidae
Exons: 3
Source: RefSeq, a predicted model, not a curated record
GGUGCAAAGUGUCUUAAAAACAGACCAAAGAGCAGACGUUUCAGCCCAUGCUUUCUUCAGUGCUUCAUUUGGGUGCACUUUGCA